GCAAACAUUUCAUCAGUGAACUUCAUUCAACAUUUGCCACUUAUAGGUCUAACAUUUGGGAUAGAUUUUCACGGAUCGGUUUCAAAACAUAAAAGCAUAAACGACUCAACUACUUCACACAAGCUAUUGAUCACAAAACUCUGCUAAGCACCGAAGGAGAAUCAUCGUAAUAGCUAAAGCUUGAAUAUAGCUCAAUACUUAGGAGCUGGAUGCUGAGUAGGUAACAGUCCAAAUCGCUUCUUCAGUUUAACUCUCUGCUCUGAAAAUUUGUCAUCAGGUGAAAACCGGGCUGCAAUUCCGGAAAACAAAAGAAAAAAUCAUUAAUAGUUGUAGGAAAUUGGAUCGUGGGUUCUAAAUAAUAUUGAACGGCAUUUGUAAAAGUUGUCAAAACAAAAAAGGUAGUGUUAAAUUAGCAGUGAUGAAUUCACCAAUGCAGAAUCAAAAGAGUGCAAAAAUAAACAUUCAUAAUAAAUAUAUAAAGUAUCCCUUACUUCACAAUCAUAAUUCAAAACAUUUGCUUCACACCUUGUCUCAUUUUUUUUUAGCAAAAAAAGACAGAGAGGAUAAACUAAGCUACCAAAUUCCAAAUGAAAUAAUUUUUCUAUAUUGAUCAACAAAAAAAGAAUUAGAUGAGAGUCUACAGAAGCCCCAAUAGAGAGAAUAAUGUAAACCUCUAAGUUAAAUUGUUUUAGCGGUAGACAUGAUUUGUAAGAGAACAUUAUAAUGUUACUUAUUCUGCUUAAUGUUGUAACCAAAAUCACUCACUGUGAGUUAAAGGUCUUUUGAAGCAUGGACGCGUGAGUUUUGGUGAGUAUUGUACUUAACGUGUCAAUACACUGUGAUCACGUUAACAAGUAUUGGAAGCCUUUUAAAAAAAAAACAAUAAGUCGUUAAUACCACUUGACACAUAGACUUAAACAUGGAGAGGCGUUAAGUGCAUCUUUGCAAUGAGAAUUAAGAGUGGCUGCACAUUUGAGAAUUGAGAGUGGACCAUGAAAAAGAAUAGGCCCUAAAUUUUCAUGACACAUAGACUUGUUUUUUAUUCUCAAAUAUGUCGCGGGUCUCAAUUCUAAUACCCACACCUCUCCAUGUUUGAAGUUUCUCUUGACUUCUGGUUUUUUCACAUUCACUUGAAAAUCUUUUUAUGUCACUUUCUUUCUGUAUACCUCCCCUAAAUCCAAUUGCAAAUCCAAAUCCAAAGUUUCUAGCUGACCUAUCAGUUUCAAUAUUUUACCUCCAAGAUUGGAUGUGGCGAAUCAUAAAACAUAUCGUCAUUUAUCUAUUUAAUUGAUUAAAAAAUCUAUUGAAUAUUUUGACAACAAAUAUCAACUAUUGAUCGGAGUGUAUUGACUGAAGCACAAAAUACCUGGAUGAGCAGAUUGAGUAGCUAACCCAAGCGGUGACUCUUUCUGCAAAAAAAAAAAACAAAAAAAGUGUCAUAUAUUUUUUUAAAUAAACGAGUGAAAAUGAAAUAAAAUAAAAUCUUGAUCCAAGGUUUAAAUGAGAUAAGUUUUACCUUGGUGGUGUAGACCUUGUCACCGUUAUCGUUGAUGUAAAAUUGAAGAUACAUGGUUACACUGAAACAACCUUGUCGCUGUAGAAAAAGUUGAAUAAAUUGUUAACAAAAGGUGUUGCAAGAGAAAGAAAAUCUGAAAUCAGAGUUUGUGACAACGUUGUUGAAGGAUGGAUAUACCUUGUCGAGAACUUGAGAAACAGAAGAAAGAAAACC
Molecule: long non-coding RNA, 1729 nt
Filed under: Medicago truncatula (barrel medic)
Lineage: Eukaryota; Viridiplantae; Streptophyta; Magnoliopsida; Fabales; Fabaceae
Description: lncRNA gene42915
Source: RNAcentral